AGUAGUUUGACUCCUGGCUCGAGGACGACGCUGGCGGCGCGCCUAACACAUGCAAGUCGAACGGAGAGCGUAUUUUGAAUUCUUCGGAAGGAAGAUACGUUCUUAGUGGCGGACGGGUGAGUAACACGUGAGCAACCUGCCUUGCAGAGAGGGAUAACGAUUGGAAACGAUCGCUAAUACCACAUAACAUAUGAAUAUCGCAUGAUGACCAUAUCAAAGAUUUAUCGCUGCAAGAUGGGCUCGCGUCUGAUUAGAUAGUUGGUGAGGUAACGGCUCACCAAGUCGACGAUCAGUAGCCGGACUGAGAGGUUGAACGGCCACAUUGGGACUGAGACACGGCCCAGACUCC
RNAcentral lists this ribosomal RNA (349 nucleotides) under uncultured Oscillospiraceae bacterium. RNAcentral's name for it is "bacterial SSU rRNA". It matches the Rfam family "Bacterial small subunit ribosomal RNA", at positions 1 to 339 of the family's 1533-position model. The record is from RNAcentral. Lineage: Bacteria; Bacillati; Bacillota; Clostridia; Eubacteriales; Oscillospiraceae.